UGGGGAAUAUUUGACAAUGGGCGAAAGCCUGAUCCAGCCAUGCCGCGUGUGUGAAGAAGGUCUUCGGAUUGUAAAGCACUUUAAGUUGGGCGGAAGGGCAGUAAGCGAAUACCUUGCUGUUUUGACGUUACCGACAGAAUAAGCACCGGCUACCUCUGUGCCAGCAGCCGCGGUAAUACAGAGGGUGCAAGCGUUAAUCGGAAUUACUGGGCGUAAAGCGCGCGUAGGUGGUUCGUUAAGUUGAAUGUGAAAGCCCCGGGCUCAACCUGCGAACUGCAUCCAAAACUGGCGAGCUAGAGUAGGGCAGAGGGUGGUGGAAUUUCCUGUGUAGCGGUGAAAUGCGUAGAUAUAGGAAGGAACGCCAGUGGCGAAGGCGACCACCUGGGCUCAUACUGACACUGAGGUGCGAAAGCGUGGGGAGCAAACAGG
This 429-nucleotide ribosomal RNA is filed under the name Pseudomonadota bacterium. RNAcentral's name for it is "Proteobacteria bacterium partial 16S ribosomal RNA". It matches the Rfam family "Bacterial small subunit ribosomal RNA", at positions 355 to 776 of the family's 1533-position model. Lineage: Bacteria; Pseudomonadati; Pseudomonadota. The record is from RNAcentral.